UGUUAAAUUACUCCAUUUCUGUUGCAGUUCCCAACUGGAAAUGCUGGGAGAAUUUGUCACCUUGCUGCAUGCAGCGGGUCCAUAGGCUGAGCGUAUCAGUUUCCACUGCUCAGCUUUGGUUCAGCCCUUAUGGGUUUCCCUGGCUCUGCAUCCUAACGAAUUGAACUUUCUUCUGUAAAGAAAGUCGGGAAAGCCAGAGGCAAGAAAAGCUGCAAUUUCUUCCUUUGGGGAAAUCUCCAAUGUAGAGUUAUAAGCAAAUAUUAAGGUUCAAAGUAGGCAACAUAAUGAGUAAGUUCAAGGACCAAGCAAGCACUUAUGUAACAUUGUGUGCUUGCAAAAUGUUUUACAACUCUAUUAUUAAUCUCUUUAAAUCUCCUGGAAGGUAACAAUGUUAUUACAUCUGUUUUAUAUGCAAGACAGGCAAAUUAAGUGGCAAAAAGGAAGAGAACUUCAGACAUUGGUUUUAAGGUUUGGAUCUAUAUCCUAAACCACACUGCUGCAGCAGGGAGAUGCAGUUCAUUCUAGACUUGGGAGUGGUGCCCAUUUGGGCCGUUGUUUCUGUGUGUUUAAAUCGUGGCUCAGUGACUUGUGUUCCAGGGAAUGACUAGCUGAACAUUAUGUCCAAUGGUCAUGAGUUCUCAAUAAAAUGUGGCCUGUGCUAUGGCCGAUAGAUUAGUGACUAACCAGGUGAUCUUUGGUUUGCUCUAGCUGGAGUCACCAUGAGACUAACAAAGGUGUGGUUUGGAAGAGUUCACACCAGUGGCUGUCCACUGCCUGUAAGCCACUUUUUCUCUGCUAUUGUGUUUCUUUCUUUCUUUUUUUUUUCUUUUCUCCACUCAUAGGAAAGCAAAUUUAUAUUAAAAAGUAAUAACAUUUCUCAAAACCCCAAAAGGGUAAAAUGUACAGGUUUUCCAUAACAGAAAAAAUGGAAAAUAACUCAGACCCCUAAUUUACAUGGUAGAGGGAGACAUGAUAAAUUAUUGCCUUCAGUUAACUUUUCUUUCAUUUACAGAGUAUCCAAAAACUGCUUUCACACCCUGAGGUGUGACCAGAAGGUAAUGAAGAGUGAUUUUUAAAAAUAAAUAUUUCAUAAGGUGCCCUGGUUUAAAUGAGAACUGUUCUUUAACAUAGUCACACUUAAACUGAUCCAAUGAUGUUGUCAUUACAAAAAAUAUUUUUAGAACUUGUCUUUUGAAUGCCUUAAAUAAGCCAUUUAUGAACUGUAAAAGAAAACAGUCUCAUGUAUUUUUAAUCAACCCCUCCCUUGAAAAGAAAUGUAUUACUCAAAUAUAUUACUGAUGCUCUUUUUAGCCUCUGUUCUCAUCAGUUUUUCUCUUCUUGUUUUCUUUCUAACAUUGAGUCUAUAAUUUUUUGAAAAGAAAUAACAAUUUGAAAUUAGUGAGGGUGUUUCACUUUAACUUUCUAUUUUGAAAUACUUUGUACUUGCAUAAAAAGUUAUGUAAAUGCUAUAGUUUCCAUAUAUCCUUCACUCAGCUUCCCUUAGUUCUCUGCUGAAUUUCUUAAUUUCUUUUUUUCCCAUUCUUUAUUUUUAUUUAUUUAUUUUUUAUUAUUUUAUUUUUUACACUCCAUAUUUUAUCCCCCGCCUCCAUCCACACUCCAACUGUUCUACAUCCCAUACCCCCUCCCCACCGCCCUGGCUCCACGUGGAUGUCCCCACCCGACCUGAUCUCUAAACUCCCUGGGGCCUCCAGUCUCUUGAGGGUUAAGUGCAUCAUCUCUGAAUGAACACAGACCUGGAAGUCCUCUACAGUAUGUGUGUCCUCAUAUCAGCUGGUGUAUGCUGUCUGUUUGAUGGUACAGUGUUUGAGAUAUCUCGGGGGUCCAGAUUAAUUGAGAUUGCUGGUCUUCCUACAGAAUCACCCUUCAUUUUCUAUGUUUUAGAAGUCUUUAUGUAUUUAUCUUACAGUUAUUUUGAAGUGUAAAAUUGUUACCGAGUAAAAUUAUCCUGAGGUGAAACACACACACACACACACACACACACACACACACACACACACACAGUACUCUGUGAAUAAGUACAAAUAUGACAUCAAUUUUACAAAAUGAGGCCAGAGAGAUGAAAUGGCUCAGCAGUUAAAAACGUGCUGUUCUCGCAUAGGACCCAAGCUUGAUUCCCAGCAGCUACACUGGGUAGCCUAUAACUUCUGCUUCCAAGAGUCUCAUGCCUCUGGCCUCAUAGGGCACCUGCCCUAUACAUCCCCUUCCAAUCCCUCUUUAAAACAAUAAAAAUGAAUGAUUAAAAAUAAAUAAAGUAUUCGUGUAUAAAAUAUAUAAAUAUUAAAAGCUGUACCUUCUCACUCUCAAUUAAAUGAGAGAUUUGUCAAUUUUAUUAAUCAAGAAUAGAUGUCUAGCCUUUUAUUUUUAUGGUGCUGAGGAUCAAGUGUAGGGUUUUGCACAUGUGAAUGCUCUACUUUUGGAUUUUAAAAAUAAUUCUCCCUUUUGUACUUUUAUUUUCCCCAUUUCAUUUUUUUCUUGUUUUUCUUUUUUAGGCCUUCCUCAUAUUAGAGGUCUGCAUGUGUUAUCUUUUCUUCUUCUAAGUUCUUGCUUCUUUUUUUUUUAAUUGUUUUUUAUUUAUUUAUUUUUUUCAAGACAGGGUUUCUCUGUAUAGCCCUGGCUGUCCUGGAACUCACUUUGUAGACCAGGCUGUACUCGAACUCAGAAUUCUGCCUGCCUCUGCCUCCCAAAUGCUGGGAUUAAAGGUGUGCGCCACCAUUGCCAGGCCAUUUUUGAUUUUUAACCUAGCCCUUACAAGACUGUACAUUUUUAGCCUUACAAGACUGUACAUUUUUUCUAAGUACCAUUGUAGCUAUACUGCCC
RNAcentral lists this long non-coding RNA (2838 nucleotides) under Mus musculus (house mouse). RNAcentral's name for it is "long non-coding RNA chr12:79481516-79484354". Lineage: Eukaryota; Metazoa; Chordata; Mammalia; Rodentia; Muridae. The record is from RNAcentral.